GAAUUUUAUAUAAAAUUUUUAUAAUUUUAGUAUAUAUAUAUAAUAAAAAUUUUAUAUUUAAUUGGGAGGAUGGUUAAAUUUUAGUAACUUUAAUUAAAAUAUAAAAUAUUAAUUAAUAUAUUAAAGAAUGAUAAUUUAAUAAUUAAAAGAAUUAAUUACCUUAGGGAUAACAGCAUAAUAUUUUUGGAAAGAUCAUAUUUAUAAAAAUGUUUGU
Molecule: ribosomal RNA, 214 nt
Filed under: Megalomyrmex incisus
Lineage: Eukaryota; Metazoa; Arthropoda; Insecta; Hymenoptera; Formicidae
Description: partial large subunit ribosomal RNA
Source: RNAcentral